AGUACUGGCUGUCCAGAGUCGAGACCCAGGAUGGACCGCUCGUCGGGACCCAGGAUGGACCGCUCGCCUGUAUUGGUUGGGGACAUCUCUACGCUGCUGAUCCGCCUCCGCUUGAGAUGGUUUCCGCCUCCGCUUGAGAUGGUUUCCUGUGGACGGGACUCUCGCUGCUGUCUUGGAUCCGCUUGAACUGAACUCUCGCGGCUGUGUUGGAGCCACUAUGGAUUGAACUUUCACAGUAUCAUGUUAGACCCGCUCCACAUCCAUUGCUUUCGGUCCCCUAGAGGGGGGGGGGGGUUGCCCACAUCUGAGGUCCUCUCCAAGGUUUCUCAUAGUCAGCAUUGUCACUAGCGUCCCACUGGAUGUGAAUUCUCCCUGCCCACUGGGUGUGAGCUUUCCUUGCCCUUUUGUGGGUUCUUCCGAGGAUGUUGUAGUCGUAAUGAUUUGUACAGUCCUUUGAGACAUUUGUGAUUUGGGGCUAUAUAAAUAAACAUUGAUUGAUUGAUUGAUUUAUAUAGUAUUGGAGUGUCGAAAUGAAUAAAGGAAAAGCUGGAAAAGGAUGAAGAAGAACUGGUAAAGAAGUGGAAUCAAAUAAAAGAUCAAGAAGGACUGUAAAGUUGCUGAGUAGACUGGUAUAGUGGUGGUGCAUUAAACUGGCAGCAGAUAUAAUAUGUGAUACUUUCUUUUUCUUCCUGCAGUCAUCCCGUCCUGCAGCAUGCACCUAUGUGAAUGUGGAGAAUGACCAGCAAUGUCCAAGGGGUAGCAGCAGGGUAACACUGCAUGAGGCGGUGCCCCCUGAAGGAGCCCAAAACACUGCUCUUCAAAUGGAACACAUCCAACCUUCAGGUGACCGUGCAGGAUGUACCACUCUGGAACAUCAAGCCUCUCCCCACCUGCCAGGUACACCCACCGUCUUCUGUGGCUGAAUAAUGUUUUGCUGUGAAUUUUGUCACAAAGCAAAUCCUGCUCAAAUGUGACAAACUUUGGAGUGUAAGAAUGUGAGCGAUAUGCUGAGAUGUUAUACGUUUUGCCUUGUGACAAAAUGUUAUCAAAAACCUUUAGUGAUUUGUAUUCUAUUUUACUUUCAGCACAUGAAAAUAUUUCUACUUCUGACCAUCGAAGAGAAUGGAAAACCAUUUUCCAGAUCAGCCCUCAUACAUCCUCCUGAUGGCCUAACAACUGAAUGACAUGUCGAUGCUGAGUAUGAUCCAUUUCAAUCAUUUGAGGAAGCUCUCCCUGAUAUAGGGGAUUGGAUGUACAAUGACGGACAUACGUUUAAUGAAGGAUUUGAAGAUGGUUUGAGUGAGGAGUGUGCAGAAGAGUCCAAUUUCAAGGACACAACAGACAAACCAAUACAUGACAAUGCAUCAGAAACCAUGGCAGAGCGCCUUCUGAUCAGCAUGGGUUAUGUAAACUGUCCUAAAGUCACAGGUAAGGCCCUAAGCCAUAUGCUCAAAAUGUUCAAGUUGCUUUAUCCCGAUAGUCUGAACACAGACUGCUUAAACAGUGUGCAGAAGUUCCAAAACUUUUUUUUAUCCCACUCUGCAUCAUCGCCUACUAUAUUACAUAAAUCCUCCAAGAAUUGUUUUGGGCCAAUAGAAAGUAAACAAAUAAAAUGCCUGCUUUGUGGGACCAGUGUGUCAGAAGAAAGGUUCUAAUCCUUUUUUUAAAGUAUGUACAGAUUGAUUUCUUGUUUACCACAGCACAUUCAUGUGCCAAAUGGGCCCUCGUUGGUGAAUAUAAACAUGCAGGUUUUUCUUUGCUGCAAGAUAGUGUAACAUAUGAGACAUGCAGUCAUGUUAUUCCCCUAUUGGAAACCUCUGCAGUACAGUAGUAUUCUUGGAUGACAUAUUGGGUAAAGUUGUUUUCCUUGACUUCACAUCUAUGCCUGGCAUAGUGAUUGCAGUUCAUUUCCCCAACACACUUGAAAAGUUUGAAAUAAUGAAGAACUGAACUGGCCUAAGAAGCCACAAAUCAAAUCUUUAAUCAUUGUUAUAAAUGCUCUGAAAAUACACACUGAUGUGAUGUUGCCGUGGAUUCUGUAAAUAUGUACUGUAUAUGGAGUAUCAUUGUUGAUGAUGUUUUUGCAUUGUGUGUAAUAUUUCAGUGGCAAAUAUAUUACAUUUACUUGUUUAAUAAAGCCACUGUCCUUUUUAAUGAAUACAUAGGCCUACUAUGCUACUGUAUUUUAAUAUUAGUCCUUAUGAUGGUGGUUGGAGAGCCAAAUAUCUUCUGAAGUGGUACUUUGUUAAAAGAGUUUGAGAACCACUGCUCUAGAAAGUUCACAAAUGUUAAAAGCUCUUAAAAAGUGUCUUGUGAUCAUAUCAGUAUUGUUUGGGUUCAGUUUUAAAUCUCACAAUUGUAGUCACUGAGUUACUGUACAUGACGUGUGGAUAAGAAAUCAACAAAUUAAGUCCAACUUUAUUUAAAUAAACCAUUUAGAUUACAGACCAUA
This is a long non-coding RNA of Nerophis ophidion (straightnose pipefish), 2452 nucleotides long. RefSeq lists it as uncharacterized. The transcript is spliced from 2 exons. Lineage: Eukaryota; Metazoa; Chordata; Actinopteri; Syngnathiformes; Syngnathidae. The record is from RefSeq and is a predicted model, not a curated record.